CCUACGGGCGGCAGCAGUGAGGAAUAUUGGUCAAUGGGCGCGAGCCUGAACCAGCCAAGUCGCGUGAGGGAUGAAGGAUCUAUGUUUCGUAAACUUCUUUUAUCGGGGAAUAAAGUCCGGGACGCGUCCCCCUUUGCGUGUACCCGAAGAAUAAGGAUCGGCUAACUCCGUGCCAGCAGCCGCGGUAAUACGGAGGAUCCGAGCGUUAUCCGGAUUUAUUGGGUUUAAAGGGUGCGCAGGCGGCCGGUUAAGUCAGCGGUGAAAGUCCGUGGCUCAACCCCGGCAUGGCCGUUGAAACUGGUGGGCUUGAGUGGGUGAGAGGAAGGCGGAAUGCGGGGUGUAGCGGUGAAAUGCAUAGAUAUCACGCAGAACUCCGAUUGCGAAGGCAGCAUGCCGGGUCCAGACUGACGCUGAGGCACGAAAGCGUGGGGAUCGAACAGGAUUAGAUACCCGUGUAGUC
RNAcentral lists this ribosomal RNA (460 nucleotides) under uncultured bacterium. RNAcentral's name for it is "partial 16S ribosomal RNA". It matches the Rfam family "Bacterial small subunit ribosomal RNA", at positions 338 to 795 of the family's 1533-position model. The record is from RNAcentral.